GUGAGGAAUAUUGGUCAAUGGACGAGAGUCUGAACCAGCCAAGUCGCGUGAAGGAAGACGGUUCUAUGAAUUGUAAACUUCUUUUGUGCAGGAAUAAAGUGGGUUACGUGUAACCUUUUGUAUGUACUGUACGAAUAAGGAUCGGCUAACUCCGUGCCAGCAGCCGCGGUAAUACGGAGGAUCCGAGCGUUAUCCGGAUUUAUUGGGUUUAAAGGGUGCGUAGGUGGUUUGAUAAGUCAGCGGUGAAAGUUUGCAGCUUAACUGUAAAAAUGCCGUUGAAACUGUCGGUCUUGAGUGCAAAUGAGGUAGGCGGAAUGUGUUGUGUAGCGGUGAAAUGCUUAGAUAUAACACAGAACUCCGAUUGCGAAGGCAGCUUACUGGGAUGCAACUGACACUGAUGCACGAAAGCGUGGGUAUCAAACAGGAUUAGAAACCCCUGUAGUCC
RNAcentral lists this ribosomal RNA (445 nucleotides) under uncultured bacterium. RNAcentral's name for it is "partial 16S ribosomal RNA". It matches the Rfam family "Bacterial small subunit ribosomal RNA", at positions 354 to 796 of the family's 1533-position model. The record is from RNAcentral.